ACUUGGGUGGUGGUGACUGCCGUUUGAUUUGCCAUAAAGCUAGAAAUGGAUUUGAGGAUCUGAGCAAUAGAUUUUUUGCUUGAGGAGGCAUCAUUAUAAUUGAGUAAGAGGAGGGAUGUGAAGAGUUAGACGCCAAUUUGUCUGGAGGAGUAAUUAAGUAGCUUUAAUUCGUCAUUAUAGCCGUCACAGGCGUUAUACAGAGGAGAUAGGAAGACAAUGAGUUCUGAAAGGUUUUCUGUAGACGUCGUAACAAAAUUAAGUUGGAGUAAGAAGAUGAUAAAACAAAUGGGUCAUUAAAGCUAAAGGGCAUGUUACGCAUCACAGAUUCGUGGUCCAACAACUUAACAUCCAUGAUGACAUGGACAAAUGAUUGGUUGAGAAUUU
RNAcentral lists this long non-coding RNA (384 nucleotides) under Brassica napus (rape). RNAcentral's name for it is "long non-coding RNA (BNAP_LNC018346)". The record is from RNAcentral. Lineage: Eukaryota; Viridiplantae; Streptophyta; Magnoliopsida; Brassicales; Brassicaceae.